RNAcentral lists this microRNA (23 nucleotides) under Equus caballus (horse). Its description in RNAcentral is "eca-miR-7045". Lineage: Eukaryota; Metazoa; Chordata; Mammalia; Perissodactyla; Equidae. The record is from miRBase by way of RNAcentral.
CUGGCGGCCGGGGGAGGGGGAGU